RNAcentral lists this ribosomal RNA (252 nucleotides) under uncultured bacterium. RNAcentral's name for it is "partial 16S ribosomal RNA". It matches the Rfam family "Bacterial small subunit ribosomal RNA", at positions 524 to 776 of the family's 1533-position model. The record is from RNAcentral.
UACGUAGGUCCCGAGCGUUGUCCGGAUUUAUUGGGCGUAAAGCGAGCGCAGGUGGUUUAUUAAGUCUGGUGUAAAAGGCAGUGGCUCAACCAUUGUAUGCAUUGGAAACUGGUAGACUUGAGUGCAGGAGAGGAGAGUGGAAUUCCAUGUGUAGCGGUGAAAUGCGUAGAUAUAUGGAGGAACACCGGUGGCGAAAGCGGCUCUCUGGCCUGUAACUGACACUGAGGCCCGAAAGCGUGGGGGGCAAACAGG